GGAGAGGUGCCGGAGUGGACGAUCGGGGCGGUCUCGAAAACCGUUGUGGCCCUUGUGACCACCGUGGGUUCGAAUCCCACCCUCUCCG
Molecule: transfer RNA, 88 nt
Filed under: Chloroflexota bacterium
Lineage: Bacteria; Bacillati; Chloroflexota
Also listed under: 1 other name
Description: Chloroflexi bacterium (anaerobic digester metagenome) tRNA-Ser
Rfam family: tRNA
About the family: Transfer RNA (tRNA) molecules are approximately 80 nucleotides in length.
Source: RNAcentral